RNAcentral lists this transfer RNA (92 nucleotides) under Felis catus (domestic cat). It matches the Rfam family "tRNA". From Rfam's summary of the family: Transfer RNA (tRNA) molecules are approximately 80 nucleotides in length. Their secondary structure includes four short double-helical elements and three loops (D, anti-codon, and T loops). Lineage: Eukaryota; Metazoa; Chordata; Mammalia; Carnivora; Felidae. The record is from Rfam by way of RNAcentral.
GCCUGUGUGGCUCAGUUGGUUAAGCGUCUGACUCUUGGUUUCAGCUUGAGUUGUGAUCUCACAGUUUGUGGGUUCAAGCCCCACCUCAGGCU